CCACUGCAAAACCUUGUACUGCAAUCCUGUUGAAUCUCACAAGCCAAGCAGGGUUAGACCGAGUUGUAACUUGAAUGGGAGACCUCUAAAGAGAGAGUAGGGUUGAAAUGGU
RNAcentral lists this ribosomal RNA (112 nucleotides) under Sphenodon punctatus (tuatara). Lineage: Eukaryota; Metazoa; Chordata; Lepidosauria; Sphenodontia; Sphenodontidae. The record is from RNAcentral.